RNAcentral lists this microRNA (23 nucleotides) under Pristionchus pacificus. RNAcentral's name for it is "ppc-miR-8364f-5p". The record is from miRBase by way of RNAcentral. Lineage: Eukaryota; Metazoa; Nematoda; Chromadorea; Rhabditida; Neodiplogasteridae.
UCUUCAUUCUCCACACUCUCUCG